CCUACGGGUGGCUGCAGUGGGGAAUUUUGGACAAUGGGGGCAACCCUGAUCCAGCCAUGCCGCGUGCGGGAAGAAGGCCUUCGGGUUGUAAACCGCUUUUAGCCGGGAAGAAAAGGCGAGGGAUAACACCCUUCGUUCUUGACGGUACCGGCGGAAUAAGCACCGGCUAACUACGUGCCAGCAGCCGCGGUAACACGUAGGGUGGGAGGGGUAAGCGGAAUUACUGGGCGGAAGUCGUGCGCAGGCGGUUGACCUGGGAAUGGCAUUGGAUACUGGCGGGCUGGAGUGUGGCAGAGGGGGGUGGAAUUCCGCGUGUAGCAGUGAAAUGCGUAGAGAUGCGGAGGAACACCGAUGGCGAAGGCAGCCCCCUGGGCUGACACUGACGCUCAGGCACGAAAGCGUGGGGAGCAAACAGGAUUAGAUACCCUUGUAGUC
Molecule: ribosomal RNA, 435 nt
Filed under: uncultured bacterium
Lineage: Bacteria
Description: partial 16S ribosomal RNA
Rfam family: Bacterial small subunit ribosomal RNA
Source: RNAcentral